This 220-nucleotide ribosomal RNA is filed under the name uncultured eukaryote. RNAcentral's name for it is "partial 18S ribosomal RNA". It matches the Rfam family "Eukaryotic small subunit ribosomal RNA", at positions 1299 to 1458 of the family's 1831-position model. The record is from RNAcentral.
UGGUGGAGCGAUUUGUCUGGUUUAUUCCGUUAACGAACGAGACCUCAGCCUGCUAAAUAGGAGACGGGACCAAUAUUACGGGGAGAAGGGCAGAGGGUCUGCGGAGGGCUUCACGGCCUCCCGCGCCUCUCCUGGAUCCUCUUUGAGUCCCGGUUACUUUCCUUCUUAGAGGGACCACUCUGUGCUAUCUUGAAACGUGUGGAAGUUUGAGGCAAUAACA